This 228-nucleotide ribosomal RNA is filed under the name uncultured bacterium. RNAcentral describes it as "partial 16S ribosomal RNA". It matches the Rfam family "Bacterial small subunit ribosomal RNA", at positions 568 to 796 of the family's 1533-position model. The record is from RNAcentral.
UGCGUAGGCGGCCUGACAAGUCAGAGGUGAAAGGCUACGGCUUAACCGUAGUAAGCCUUUGAAACUGACAGGCUUGAGUGCAGGAGAGGAAAGUGGAAUUCCUAGUGUAGCGGUGAAAUGCGUAGAUAUUAGGAGGAACACCAGUGGCGAAGGCGACUUUCUGGACUGUAACUGACGCUGAGGUACGAAAGCGUGGGGAGCGAACAGGAUUAGAUACCCUGGUAGUCC